RNAcentral lists this long non-coding RNA (510 nucleotides) under Homo sapiens (human). Its description in RNAcentral is "HSALNT0395230". The record is from RNAcentral. Lineage: Eukaryota; Metazoa; Chordata; Mammalia; Primates; Hominidae.
AUAAGCAGGAGUAACAGGUAACCUGAAGUGUCACCUCCAAGAACGGGACCCAGCCCCACAAUGAGGAAGCAAUUUAACUCUGCCUUAGCCUUGAAAAUGUGACAAAACUGAGUUGGACAGCAGUCUUGAGACACAUGGGACAAAAGGCGAGAUUCGUUCUGUCCGGGGAAAAACAAGAUUUUCAGGACAAAUGAGAGAGUGACAGAUUCAUAAAGAGAGUGACAAAUUCAUCGAUGAAGACUGCGGAGAGGAGAGAACAGACCUGGAACAAUCAUCAUCAGGAUACCUCAGUCUGUCCACCAAGUCCAUUGGUGCGAUCUUAAGAGUCACAUGACUUCGGGAUGUUUGAAUAAAAGGGGCCUUGACUUGGACCUACAGGGCAGGUAAAAUGGUCAACAGUCGUUCCAGCUCUUGCUGCUAAAGAACAGAACGUCCCUGUGAACACGGGCCACAUUCUCUCAGCAAACCACAACAGAAAUUGUUCGGGAAAAGAAUAAACUCAAUCCAUCA